Molecule: long non-coding RNA, 983 nt
Filed under: Heterocephalus glaber (naked mole-rat)
Lineage: Eukaryota; Metazoa; Chordata; Mammalia; Rodentia; Bathyergidae
Description: lncRNA (ENSHGLG00100041311.1)
Source: RNAcentral
CAUGUGCCAGCUGGGUAAGGUCUAAGACCUCUGGAAAGGCAAGGAUUUCCAGGCCCUCUUGUUCUGAGCCUGGACAUGCAGGUAAAGGAGAAGCAAGAAGAGAGGGAGGAAGAGACAGGCACCCAGAGAGAGUUGGGAGGACCAUCUCAGUGCUCAGAGCUCCAGGGGCAGCAAAGGGCAUCUGUCAGGCCAGCCCUCUCAAACAUAGGAACAGAUCACAGCAGUGAUGUGUUUCUAUCUGUGACUGUGAUCGCUUUGACCUUGCCAGGAUGGGAGACGCCAACCCCGUGCUUGUCAGUCUCUCCUGAAGGUCUAACGCCGGCCACCCUGCAGUGCAGAUCACAGGUCUGCCAGUGAAAUAAUGGAAACUUUCCGGGAGCAAGAAGCUAAAAGAUUUUUGUCAAGACAAAUGCUCGGCAUAAGGAAAAUGAAGGUAAAUUAACUAACACCAGAGACCACAGCUGCUAGGUCAAUGUAGGAUGAGCUGUAAGAAACAAGUGACAUCGUGAAGCCCUGGUACUGGACAAGAAGUUAAUGUUUAUAUUGAGAACAGCCAUGCCAGGAAGUUCCAAUGCUCUGGGUGCAGCUUAGUCCACAAGAUGUGGUGAAAUGAGCAAUGGUUGGGGUCACUAACUGGCUAAACAACGCUCGCGAGUCACUUCAUCACUCUGGAUCUUGGUUUCCUCCUUGGCAAAGAAUUUCCUGACUGUCAACAAGCCAGGUUGCUGUGACACUGAAAUCCUAUAGGCUGGACUAGAAAUUCUUUGAGGCCAGAGGCUGUGGUUUGCGUUUCCCCUGAAUCUCCUACAGCUUCCAACACAAUGCUGAACAUAGUCAUCUGAGGCCACUGUGACAUGGAGAAAGUCCUAUAUAAAUCAGCCUUGUAAAUCUGAAAAUCUAUGAAGAAGUAGCUCAGGAGGGAAAUUUUUUUAAUCAUAACUCCAGGUUAAGAACACUUGGGGUUGAAAUGGUUGAAUGAGAAG